Myodes glareolus (Bank vole) is the source of this 1839-nucleotide non-coding RNA. The record is from RefSeq and is a predicted model, not a curated record. Lineage: Eukaryota; Metazoa; Chordata; Mammalia; Rodentia; Cricetidae.
GUCACACAACAAGCCAGGUGCAGGCCCUUUUCCAACUCCAGAACCCAGUAGCGAUUCCCACCCACAGAGAUCAGCGUAGGCAUUUCCCUUCCCGGGUGGUCCUAGGUGCAAAGGUCCUUCUGAGGACACUCCAGAUCCACAGGCCUAGCCACUUUGGUCCCAGGAAGAGUUUCUAGAUCCCCACUUAACUCCACCUCCCCACUAGUAUAACUGGACAAAGAGUCAUCACCUGACCCAAACUGAGCCAAGUAAGGGUGCCAACUUGUCACCAUCGAUGUUGUUCGAGAUGGACGUGUGACAAAACAAAUCAGUCAGAGUUGUUCUUGUGGAUUUUUUUCUGUGACGGGGCCCAGAGUACUUUUAUUCUCGAUCAGUGGGAUUAACAUUUGUUUUGGAGGCCCCAGCGAGAUUCAAAGCACCUGCCCAAAUUCUAAAGCUGGACCUUUACUCUGGAACACUGGGGCUGAGGGACUUCCCCAGGAGGCAUGUGUCUUGAAACGUUCCAAGAGACUGAGGCUGCCUUCAGUUCGCAGACGAAUGGAGUGAACUUCCAUGUUGAGAAAAGCAUCAAGCAUCUAAGAAGCCUCCUGGAAAACCUCUUACCUUCUGGGCCUGGCAGCCAAAGUCCCGGUAUCUCUGCCCCUAACUCCAUGGAGAACACAGGAGCCUGGGAUGAUUGUCUAGGAGAUUUCCUUAAGGCUCUCGGUCUCUACAGCUGGGUCAGUGAACCAGAAGCUUCUGAUGAAUGCCCCACUGCCUGGAUUCCAGUCUCCUGGGCCCUGACAACACCACCCUUGCUUUAGCAGGAAGUAGUUACAGGAGAGUCUGUUGCCUCUGUUCCUCAACACUUUAGAAUGUUAGAUCAAAAGGAAACUCUCUAGCAUAGGGGACAAAAUAGCUACCUAUAGUGCCCAUAGGUACACCAGGCAAGAUACCUGUUAAAACCAAGUAGACCCAGAUCUAUCAACAGGAAUAGUCACUACCUGAAAUAAUUCUAUAGAGCUAUGACAGGGCACUCGACCUGCUCUACGUAAAACAGAGAGGUUACUGUACAGCUUUAAGAGAAAGUUGUUUCUAUAUAAACCAUUCAGAAAUUAUUAGAAAUGAUCUGUACUCGGAAAAAAAAUUGUUGCAAAGGGGACCUGAGAUGAAAUAAAUAACUGGUCCCCAUUCUCAUUUCCAGGUCCUUCUAGAUAGUAGCUCUGAUGUCAGCCAUCAAAGGGCCUUUGGCCCUUCUGCUUCAGCUAAUUGCUGUUGGCGCUUGCAUCACUACUGCCUUAACUAAAUGAUAAUUCCUGCCUGGGCACCAUUAGCUGAUGGUUAUUAGAUCCCAGUAUAAAUAGGUACCCAUCAAAGAGUCAAGGAUUUGACUCAGGAAACAACUCAAGGGGAGAGUGUAAGAGUCAAAGUUACAUUUCAGAUUUUAAUUACUAUGCCUUAGAGAUGCAUGAAACAAAAAUGUCUCUGAUCUGUAAGCCCCUUGCCCAAGGACAGAUAGUUCCCGAAAUGCUGGAGGCUGUUGUUUAUGGUUGAUAACAAGCCACAUGGUUUCCCUCCCCCAAAACAAGUUUGUUUGACUCACCUGCACAGGAUGUGUUUGAUCAGGUACGUGUGGGAAGUUCACAGGCAGGAAAUACAUCAGACGUAUUCUUGCCCCUGAUUGGACAUAGGCUGUUGGUAUGUAAGGACGUAUGUUAGCCCCUGAUUGGACCUGAUGGGAAUACUUAAGCUGCUGUAAACCUUGAUUUGGGGUCAUCUGGAAACCCAGGGAUGUACCUGCCUAGAGCCCAUCCAUCUGGUCAAUAUUUAACUAAAGCUUGCUCCAAAUUUGGCUUUAAA